GCAGCGGCAGGGAGCAAGGGUUUUCAGGCUGCUUCAUUCUCCUGCUGAGCUCCAGGGUGCGUGGGUGCCUGUCCCCCCACCAGCCUACCUUUCCACCUCUACUGUGUCAUCCCUCUUCCCCCCACACCGAGUGGGAAAUCCAGUCAACAGCAAUGUGUGAUAAGACAGAAAUCUCCAUGGAGACUGGAAAAGCUUCUCCACAUAAGCACACAUUUUGGUUGGGGGAAAACAGGGACUGUUAUUUUUAUCUGAACAGCAUGUGCUUUUGUAAAAUGAUAAGGAAACUGAGCCACAAAGAAGUUGACUUUGCUUGUUUAUGCUGUUUCACAUGCCUGGAUUACCUUUCCACUAUCCUUCUAAUCAUUCCUGAAGAUUUACACAGAGAAGGAAAGACAGAGAGAGACACAAGUUUUCCAUCACUGGUUCACUCCCCAAAUGGCCACAACAGCUGGAGCUGAUCCAAUCCGAAGCCAGGAGCCAGGAGCUUCUUCUUGGUCUCCCAUGUGAGUGCAGAGGCCCAAGGAUUUGGGCCAUCCUCCAUUGCUUUUCCAGGUCAUAAGCAGGAAGACAGAUUGGAAGUGAAGCAGCCAGGACAUGAAACAGCAUCCAUACAGGAUACCAGCACUACAGGCUGAACAGCUUUUAUCCAUCAUGCCACAGUGCCAAUUCCCAGAAAGCUCUUU
Molecule: long non-coding RNA, 683 nt
Organism: Ochotona princeps (American pika)
Lineage: Eukaryota; Metazoa; Chordata; Mammalia; Lagomorpha; Ochotonidae
Exons: 4
Source: RefSeq, a predicted model, not a curated record